RNAcentral lists this ribosomal RNA (443 nucleotides) under uncultured bacterium. Its description in RNAcentral is "partial 16S ribosomal RNA". It matches the Rfam family "Bacterial small subunit ribosomal RNA", at positions 28 to 507 of the family's 1533-position model. The record is from RNAcentral.
GAUGAACGCUGGCGGCAUGCCUAACACAUGCAAGUCGAUCGGUAAGGCUCUUCGGAGUACACGAGAGGCGGACGGCUGAGUAACGCGUAGGAACACACCCUGCAGUGAGGGAUAAGACACCGAAAGGUGUUCUAAUACCGCAUACGGUCUUCGGAUUAAAGCAUUUAUGCGCUGAAGGAGUGGCCUGCGUCAUAUUAGAUAGUUGGUGAGGUAAUGGCUCACCAAGUCGAUGAUGUGUAGCUGGUCUGAGAGGAUGAUCAGCCAGACUGGAACUGAGACAGGACCAAGACUCCUAGGGGAGGCAGCAGGGAGGAAUAUUACACAAGGAGCAAGGGCUUGAGGGAGAAAUGCCGCGUGAAGGAUGAAGGCCCUGGGGUUGAAAACUGUUUUUAUAAGAGAAGAUAAGGAGGGAAAUUUAUAAAAAGGGGACGGCUAACUCCGUG